CAUGCAGCGACGCCGCGUGAGGGAUGACGGCCUUCGGGUUGUAAACCUCUUUCAGCACAGACGAAGCGCAAGUGACGGUAUGUGCAGAAGAAGGACCGGCCAACUACGUGCCAGCAGCCGCGGUAAUACGUAGGGUCCGAGCGUUGUCCGGAAUUACUGGGCGUAAAGAGCUCGUAGGUGGUUUGUCGCGUUGUUCGUGAAAACUCACAGCUUAACUGUGGGCGUGCGGGCGAUACGGGCAGACUAGAGUACUGCAGGGGAGACUGGAAUUCCUGGUGUAGCGGUGGAAUGCGCAGAUAUCAGGAGGAACACCGGUGGCGAAGGCGGGUCUCUGGGCAGUAACUGACGCUGAGGAGCGAAAGCGUGGGGAGCGAACAGGAUUAGAUACCCUGGUAGUCCACGCCGUAAACGGUGGGUACUAGGUGUGGGUUUCCUUCCUUGGGAUCCGUGCCGUAGCUAACGCAUUAAGUACCCCGCCUGGGGAGUACGGCCGCAAGGCUAAAACUCAAAGGAAUUGACGGA
This 522-nucleotide ribosomal RNA is filed under the name uncultured Mycobacterium sp. RNAcentral describes it as "bacterial SSU rRNA". It matches the Rfam family "Bacterial small subunit ribosomal RNA", at positions 385 to 917 of the family's 1533-position model. The record is from RNAcentral. Lineage: Bacteria; Bacillati; Actinomycetota; Actinomycetes; Mycobacteriales; Mycobacteriaceae.